GCAGGCUGCAACCCGCCUGCGUGAAGUUGGAAUCGCUAGUAAUCGCGGAUCAGCAUGCCGCGGUGAAUACGUUCCCGGGCCUUGUACACACCGCCCGUCACACCAUGAGAGUCGGGAACACCCGAAGUCCGUAGCCUAACUUUAACGAGGGGGCGCGGCCGAAGGUGGGUUCGAUAAUUGGGGUGAAGUCGUAACAAGGUACC
RNAcentral lists this ribosomal RNA (203 nucleotides) under uncultured bacterium. RNAcentral describes it as "partial 16S ribosomal RNA". It matches the Rfam family "Bacterial small subunit ribosomal RNA", at positions 1300 to 1500 of the family's 1533-position model. The record is from RNAcentral.